CAGCAGCCGCGGUAAUACAGAGGGUGCGAGCGUUAAUCAGAUUUACUGGGCGUAAAGCGUGCGUAGGCGGCUUCUUAAGUCGGAUGUGAAAUCCCUGAGCUUAACUUAGGAAUUGCAUUCGAUACUGGGAAGCUAGAGUAUGGGAGAGGAUGGUAGAAUUCCAGGUGUAGCGGUGAAAUGCGUAGAGAUCUGGAGGAAUACCGAUGGCGAAGGCAGCCAUCUGGCCUAAUACUGACGCUGAGGUACGAAAGCAUGGGGAGCAAACAGGAUUAGAUACCCGCGUAGUCCCUGUCUCUUAUAA
RNAcentral lists this ribosomal RNA (301 nucleotides) under uncultured bacterium. RNAcentral's name for it is "partial 16S ribosomal RNA". It matches the Rfam family "Bacterial small subunit ribosomal RNA", at positions 509 to 809 of the family's 1533-position model. The record is from RNAcentral.